This is a long non-coding RNA of Topomyia yanbarensis, 1022 nucleotides long. RefSeq lists it as uncharacterized. The record is from RefSeq and is a predicted model, not a curated record. The transcript has 3 exons. Lineage: Eukaryota; Metazoa; Arthropoda; Insecta; Diptera; Culicidae.
UCGAUUGAUGGCACUGACACCGCGCCAGUGUUUUGCACUGGAACGGUGCCAAUGGAACACUCCAAUGCAAAUCGAGUGCAGACUUGAAUGUGUGCGUGUAGUUGCCCGAGCUGUCAUUUAACAGCUGAUGUUUUGCACUUUUUCAACAUUUAACUUUCCCGUGCUGUUUAGUGGAAUGUAUAUUCACUUUUUGCUAUUUACAAGCGGAAAAAAGUUUUUCUCCCCACAAACAGACCGAUCAUCCGGUCGCUUCUGCAAUAUGGAAACUAAACAGAAUAAGGAGGAUACUGCUCGUGGAUGCUUAGCCACAGUGUGGCUCCCUGGCAAUAAACUGAUAUCCUAAUUUUGUCAAUGAAUAUUCAAUACCUUUCCGGAGAUGGUUCAGGAUUGAUAACAUGAUGAGGGAGUUCAGCAAUUCACACCUAUCCAUAUCUUUACUUGACGCAAUGUUGAAUUUUUGUGCCUACCUGCGGACCACAAUGGGCUAUCGUUGCGCACAAUUCGUAAAUUAAUUUCCUGUCGAAGCUCGCAGAAACUGUUACGAUGCAAACCGACAAAUAAUCGAAUCGAUUGCUAUAAUGAGCUGCGGAAGGCUGAUGACGAAUUUGUUUCUUAAAGCCUAACUAAAUUACCAUGUUCUCGAGCUGGUGUUGCUUCGCCAACAACGACAAACAAGAAAUUAAAGUGCUGGACGGCUGGAGAAAUUGGUAGUGAAUUUUGAUUUUGAAACCAGUUUAAAAGAAAUUACGGUCUGUAUCAGCUAAUUUGGCAUUUUAUUGAAUACAGGCAACCGGAAGUGACGUAACUCCACUAAAGUAUUAGAGCUAAACUGCCUGUAAUUGGAAGUCAGUCCCAUAUAGUUAGAGAUCCCUUUAGAACAUGGGACUGACUUGCGAUUAUGGGCAGUAAAUGCUGUACUCGAAUUUGUUCCGACUGGGACAUUUUCUGCUCUUAUUUUAGUUAUUUGUUCAAUGUUUUAUGAGAAACAUUAAUCGGCUGGAAUAAAGUUCAAAACACUAGAA